This 709-nucleotide ribosomal RNA is filed under the name Klebsiella pneumoniae. RNAcentral's name for it is "bacterial SSU rRNA". It matches the Rfam family "Bacterial small subunit ribosomal RNA", at positions 1 to 698 of the family's 1533-position model. Lineage: Bacteria; Pseudomonadati; Pseudomonadota; Gammaproteobacteria; Enterobacterales; Enterobacteriaceae. The record is from RNAcentral.
ACUUAAAUUGAAGAGUUUGAUCAUGGCUCAGAUUGAACGCUGGCGGCAGGCCUAACACAUGCAAGUCGAGCGGUAGCACAGAGAGCUUGCUCUCGGGUGACGAGCGGCGGACGGGUGAGUAAUGUCUGGGAAACUGCCUGAUGGAGGGGGAUAACUACUGGAAACGGUAGCUAAUACCGCAUAAGUCGCAAGACCAAAGUGGGGGACCUUCGGGCCUCAUGCCAUCAGAUGUGCCCAGAUGGGAUUAGCUAGUAGGUGGGGUAACGGCUCACCUAGGCGACGAUCCCUAGCUGGUCUGAGAGGAUGACCAGCCACACUGGAACUGAGACACGGUCCAGACUCCUACGGGAGGCAGCAGUGGGGAAUAUUGCACAAUGGGCGCAAGCCUGAUGCAGCCAUGCCGCGUGUGUGAAGAAGGCCUUCGGGUUGUAAAGCACUUUCAGCGGGGAGGAAAGCGUUAAGGUUAAUAACCUUGGCGAUUGACGUUACCCGCAGAAGAAGCACCGGCUAACUCCGUGCCAGCAGCCGCGGUAAUACGGAGGGUGCAAGCGUUAAUCGGAAUUACUGGGCGUAAAGCGCACGCAGGCGGUCUGUCAAGUCGGAUGUGAAAUCCCCGGGCUCAACCUGGGAACUGCAUUCGAAACUGGCAGGCUAGAGUCUUGUAGAGGGGGGUAGAAUUCCAGGUGUAGCGGUGAAAUGCGUAGAGAUC